GGCCGGGUGGAGAGGCGUAAUACAAUACCCGAAAGGGAAAUAUGCCCGGAGUUGCUUUGUAGACUCAGUUGACACCUGGUCACCAGCCA
RNAcentral lists this non-coding RNA (89 nucleotides) under Sodalis glossinidius str. 'morsitans'. RNAcentral describes it as "sRNA-Xcc1". It matches the Rfam family "sRNA-Xcc1". The record is from Rfam by way of RNAcentral. Lineage: Bacteria; Pseudomonadati; Pseudomonadota; Gammaproteobacteria; Enterobacterales; Bruguierivoracaceae.